GAUUGGCAUGACUGAUGAAUCAAUUAGAUGCACGAAGUGACCUUAUGAGCUGAAACCCUGAGGCCUAUUUUUUCUCUGAUUUGCCAAUU
Molecule: small nucleolar RNA, 89 nt
Filed under: Sorghum bicolor (sorghum)
Lineage: Eukaryota; Viridiplantae; Streptophyta; Magnoliopsida; Poales; Poaceae
Description: snoRNA snoZ266
Rfam family: Small nucleolar RNA Z266
About the family: Z266 is a member of the C/D class of snoRNA which contain the C (UGAUGA) and D (CUGA) box motifs.
Source: Rfam by way of RNAcentral